CCUACGGGUGGCUGCAGUCGAGGAUCUUCGGCAAUGGGGGCAACCCUGACCGAGCGACGCCGCGUGGGCGACGAAGGCCUUCGGGUUGUAAAGCCCUGUCGAGGGGGAGGAAACCUUAACCGGUUGACCCAUCCCUGGAGGAAGCACGGGCUAAGUUCGUGCCAGCAGCCGCGGUAAGACGAACCGUGCGAACGUUGUUCGGAAUCACUGGGCUUGAAGGGCGCGUAGGCGGGCUGCCGCGUCCGGGGUGAAAUCCUCCGGCUCAACCGGAGAAC
RNAcentral lists this ribosomal RNA (275 nucleotides) under uncultured bacterium. RNAcentral's name for it is "partial 16S ribosomal RNA". It matches the Rfam family "Bacterial small subunit ribosomal RNA", at positions 338 to 621 of the family's 1533-position model. The record is from RNAcentral.